CCUUUUCAGUUUUUCCACCAAAAUUCCCGUCUGGAAGCGAAACCCGAGCCCGGCUGAGCCCCUUUGGUGACCUCUGGUGACCUUUGGUGACCUUUGGUGACCCCUGGUGACCUCUGGUGACCUUCAGUGACCUUCGGUGACCUUCAGUGACCUUUGGUGACCUUUGGUGACCUUCGGUGACCCCAGAACUGCCGCCCCUUUCCCAGGGUUAUUGAUCCAUCCCCAGGGUAUUGAUCCAUCCCCAGGGUUAUUGAUCCCUUCCCAGGGUUAUUGAUCCCUUCCCAGGGUUAUUGAUCCCUUCCCAGGGUAUUGAUCCCUUCCCAGGGUUAUUGAUCCAUUCCCAGGGUUAUUGAUCCAUCCCCAGGGUAUUGAUCCAUCCCCAGGGUUAUUGAUCCCUUCCCAGGGUUAUUGAUCCCUUCCCAGGGUUAUUGAUCCAUCCCCAGGGUAUUGAUCCAUCCCCAGGGUUAUUGAUCCCUUCCCAGGGUUAUUGAUCCCUUCCCAGGGUUAUUGAUCCCUUCCCAGGGUUAUUGAUCCCUUCCCAGGGUUAUUGAUCCAUUCCCAGGGUUAUUGAUCCAUCCCCAGGGUUAUUGAUCCAUUCCCAGGGUUAUUGAUCCAUCCCCAGGGUUAUUGAUCCAUUCCCAGGGUUAUUGAUCCCUUCCCAGGGUUAUUGAUCCAUCCCCAGGGUUAUUGAUCCAUCCCCAGGGUUAUUGAUCCAUUCCCAGGGUUAUUGAUCCAUCCCCAGGGUUAUUGAUCCAUUCCCUGGGUUAUUGAUCCAUCCCCAGGGUUAUUGAUCCCUUCCCAGGGUAUUGAUCCCUUCCCAGGGUUAUUGAUCCAUUCCCAGGGUUAUUGAUCCAUUGCCAGGGGGAUUAAUCCUUUUCCAGGGUAUUGAUCCCUUCCCAGGGUUAUUGAUCCAUCCCCAGGGUUAUUGAUCCCUUCCCAGGGUUAUUGAUCCCUUCCCAGGGUUAUUGAUCCAUCCCCAGGGUUAUUGAUCCAUCCCCAGGGUUAUUGAUCCAUCCCCAGGGUUAUUGAUCCAUUCCCAGGGUUAUUGAUCCAUCCCCAGGGUUAUUGAUCCAUUCCCAGGGUUAUUGAUCCCUUCCCUGGGUUAUUGAUCCAUUCCCAGGGUAUUGAUCCAUCCCCAGGGUUAUUGAUCCCUUCCCAGGGUUAUUGAUCCAUCCCCAGGGUUAUUGAUCCCUUCCCAGGGUAUUGAUCCCUUCCCAGGGUUAUUGAUCCCUUCCCAGGGUUAUUGAUCCAUUCCCAGGGUUAUUGAUCCCUUCCCAGGGUUAUUGAUCCAUUCCCAGGGGUAUUGAUCCCUUCCCAGGGUUAUUGAUCCAUUCCCAGGGUUAUUGAUCCCUUCCCAGGGGUAUUGAUCCCUUCCCAGGGUUAUUGAUCCCUUCCCAGGGUUAUUGAUCCAUCCCCAGGGUUAUUGAUCCCUUCCCAGGGUUAUUGAUCCAUUCCCAGGGUUAUUGAUCCAUCCCCAGGGUUAUUGAUCCCUUCCCAGGGUUAUUGAUCCCUUCCCAGGGUUAUUGAUCCCUUCCCAGGGUAUUGAUCCCUUCCCAGGGUUAUUGAUCCAUUCCCAGGGUUAUUGAUCCAUCCCCAGGGUUAUUGAUCCCUUCCCAGGGUUAUUGGUCCCUUCCCAGGGUUAUUGAUCCAUCCCCAGGGUUAUUGAUCCCUUCCCAGGGUUAUUGAUCCAUUCCCAGGGUAUUGAUCCCUUCCCAGGGUUAUUGAUCCCUUCCCAGGGUAUUGAUCCAUUCCCAGGGGAUUGAUCCAUUCCCAGGGUUAUUGAUCCAUUCCCAGGGUUAUUGAUCCAUUCCCAGGGUUAUUGAUCCCUUCCCA
Long non-coding RNA from Myiozetetes cayanensis, 1833 nucleotides. RefSeq lists it as uncharacterized. Lineage: Eukaryota; Metazoa; Chordata; Aves; Passeriformes; Tyrannidae. The record is from RefSeq and is a predicted model, not a curated record. The transcript is spliced from 3 exons.